This 406-nucleotide unclassified non-coding RNA is filed under the name soil metagenome. RNAcentral's name for it is "partial contains 5.8S ribosomal RNA, internal transcribed spacer 2, and large subunit ribosomal RNA". The stretch from base 1 to 121 matches the Rfam family "5.8S ribosomal RNA", at positions 35 to 154 of the family's 154-position model. The record is from RNAcentral.
GAUGAAGAACGUAGCGAAAUGCGAUAAGUAGUGUGAAUUGCAGAAUUCAGUGAAUCAUCGAAUCUUUGAACGCACCUUGCGCCCUUUGGCUAUUCCGAAGGGCAUGCCUGUUUGAGUAUCAUGAACACCUCAACUCUCAUGGUUUUUCCAUGAUGGGCUUGGACUUUGGGGGUCUUGCUGGCCUAUAGUCAGCUCCUCUUAAAUGAAUCAGCUUGCCAGUGCUUGGUGGCAUCACAGGUGUGAUAACUAUCUACGCUUGUGGUUUUCCAUCAAGUCACCUUCAGCGAUGGAGGUUCGCUGGGGCUCAUAAAGAAGGCCUCUCCUCGGUGAGGACAGCCCUUUGAAUGUUUGAUCUCAAAUCAGGUAGGACUACCCGCUGAACUUAAGCAUAUCAAUAAGCGGAGGA